AUCCCCAUGGCAGUGGCGUAGGCGGGUGGUGGCGCUGAGCCCGACAAUGGAUGCACUGGUCGCUCCCGUGCGUGGUGGUGGGGGAGGUGCGCAGGUGGGCGACGGUGGUCGAGCUGCGCAGGUGGUCGGUGGUGAUCGCCUCCGUGGUGGCGGUGCAGGCGGGCGGCGGCAUUGGACCUGAUGGUGGCUCGUGCGGGCGGUGGUGUUGGACGAUUUUUCUUUUUGUUGCAAAAAUUAUAACGAACUACAUCCGCGACAAGUUUUUCUUUAGUUUUUAUGUCUUGACUCGUACUCUAUCAUGUUUUUAAUUUAUUUAUCUGAAUCAGAAACCGAAUCAGUAUUUCUUUCACCUGACAUGUGGGGGGGCGUCCAAACAAACUAUCUGUACCACGUGACCAGGUACAGGUGCGUCAGAGCUCUUAAUAGAGCCAACCUCCGUCCGCUCCCCCGUCAUGAAUUGUAUGUACGUACACUGUGAGCCUGCAGUGUAUAAAUCUUUUUCAAUUCCUGUAUUCCUUCGGCAGUGACCUGCAGCACACAUCCCCAUGCUUGUCUGGGCGGCUCAUAUUUCAGGUUCACCUGGACCCGAGAGCCAAAACGCCACUCCCGAAAAGAACGACACUUCUUGGUCAAGUUGCACAGCCCAAGGCAUUGCUUAAGUUGAGUUGAAAUGAAUAAAACAGACAGAACAAUUUAUCAAGGGAAAACCCCUAGAGUCAAUCCGCUCUUAAUUUUCAAACAAACUAGUGGCUAGUUUGUAUUCUGUUAAUUGACACAUCAUUCAGCACCAUAAUGGCGUCGGGUGUGUGUACCUUUCAAUCAGCCUAGCUAGUGUAAAAGAAGGACCCUUACUAAUUUGAGGUGGAGCACUGUUGCUUGCCAGCUUAAAAACCUCUAUAUCCAAGCACCACCACGAGUUACUGAGAAAGUUCAAACCCCGAUGCUCCUUCCAGCUCUGGGUGGCUGGGUAUUCUUCCAAGCUCCCAUCCAUGGCUUCUCUCGUCUUCCUCCUCCUAUUCGGCCAAAUCCUACUCUGCACAGCCGUCGACACCAUCACCUCCACCACACCGUUGUCCGGGUCACAGCAGAUUGUGUCCCAGGGCAGCAAGUUCACCUUGGGCUUCUACUCCCCACCGCAAGGUAACACCACCUCUAGCAAUUACUACAUAGCCAUAUGGUACAGCAACAUACCACUGGUGACCACGGUGUGGACGGCAACCACCGAUGUGCCAGUGUCUGACCCGACCACCGCCUCCUUGGAGAUCGCCAGCGACGGCAACCUUGUCCUCCUUGAUCAAGCCAAGAACCAGCUGCUAUGGUCGACCAAUGAAAGUAUAGCCUCCAACUCCACCAUGGCCACCAUCAGAGAUAGCGGUAGCCUCGACCUCACUGACGCCUCGAAUUCAUCGAUAGUUUACUGGCGAAGCAUAGACCAUCCAACAAACACCUGGCUUCCAGGGGGAAAACUCGGGCGGAAUAAGAUCACCAGUGUGAGCCAGAGGCUUGUUGCUUGGAAGAACAUGGCAGACCCGUCUCCAGGGUUGUUCACGCUGGAGCUGGACCCAAAUGGCACACCACAGUUUUUCAGCCAGUGGAAUUCGUCCAUAACCUACUGGUCCAGCGGCCCUUGGAAUGGCUAUAACUUCAGCUUUUCACCGGAGAUGACAACCACUUACGCAUACGAAUCCCGAUUCAUCAACAACGACACAGAAGGCUAUCUGUUCUACUCGCUCAAGGAUGUCUCGGUUGUCUCGCGGUUCAUCAUUGACGUCGGCGGACAGAUCAAGCAGCUGAGAUGGUUGGGAUACUCACAGCAGUGGGUCGUGUUCUGGUCCCAGCCAUGGUCACAGUGUGAGGUGUAUGCGCUCUGUGGGGCAUACGGCAGCUGCAACCUCAAUGCCCUGCCCUACUGCAACUGUGUCCAGGGGUUCAGCCAGAAGGUUCAGAGUGACUGGGACCUCCAAGAUUACAGUGGUGGGUGCAAGAGGAAUACACCAUUGCAGUGCCAGACCAACUCAACUUCUGCACAGGCUCCAUCUGAUAAGUUCCAUGUCAUGGAAGAUGUGCGCCUACCUGAUAAUGCUCAGGAUGCAGUGGCUACAAGCUCUCAGGAAUGUGAGGUGGUUUGUCUUAAUAGUUGCUUUUGCACUGCUUACACUUACAAUUACACUGGGUGCUUUGUUUGGCAUGGGGACCUGAUUACUCUCCAAGAUCAGUACAGGGGAAUUGGAGGAGGCACACUCCUCCUCAGGCUAGCAGCAUCCGAGCUACCAGAUCAGCAAAGGAAGAAAACAACGAUCAUUGGCUCAGUUGUUGGCGGACUUGCUGCAGUUUUGAUAAUCCUUGCAGUUGUGUUGUUCUUCAUAUCUCAGAAGUUCCGCCGAGACAACUCUUCGGAUAUCCGGAAAUGCUGGGGGUGCACUGACUGACUUCAAGUACAGUGAUUUGUUAAAUGAUAUUCAAAGCAUCGACUCUCUUCUUCUCGAUCUAUCAACACUAAGAGUGGCUACAAAUGACUUCAGCGAAGGAAAUAUGCUUGGUAAAGGAGGUUUUGGAAUGGUUCAUAAGGGAGUCCUACCUGACGGUAAACAAAUAGCAAUAAAAAGGCUAUGUAAGAGUUCCAGACAAGGAAUAGGGGAACUGAAAAGUGAACUAGUCCUGGUUGCUAAGCUUCGCCACAGGAAUCUUGUGAGCCUCAUUGGUGUUUGUUUGGAAGAACAAGAGAAAAUACUUGUGUAUGAAUUUAUGCCCAACAGAAGCCUUGAUACCAUUCUUUUUGAUUCUGAGAAACGCAAAGACCUAGACUGGGGAAGGAGAUUCAAGAUUAUCAGUGGAGUUGCUAGGGGAUUACAAUAUCUCCACGAAGAUUCUCAAUUGAAGAUAGUUCAUCGGGACCUGAAAGCAAGCAAUAUUUUGUUGGACUUUGAUUACAACCCUAAAAUUUCUGACUUUGGCUUAGCAAAGAUAUUUGGAGGGGAUCAAUCAGAAGAUGUCACUAGACGUAUUGCUGGGACAUAUGGAUACAUGUCGCCUGAAUAUGCCAUGCAUGGUCAAUACUCAGCAAAGUCAGACGCGUUCAGCUUCGGUGUUUUGGUUUUGGAGAUAGUCACAGGAAGAAGAAACAAUGGCUCCUGCAACUCCGAGCAAUAUAUUUAUCUUGUAAAUCUUGUAUGGGAGUACUGGACCAGGGGAAAUGUCAUCGAGCUGAUCGAUCCAUUGGUUAGCAAAGAACCUUCUCCCAUUGACCAGGUUCUGAAGUGCAUCCAGAUCGGGCUACUGUGUGUGCACAACAGACCUGAAGAUAGGCCGACAAUGUCGUCGGUAAAUGUCAUGCUUAGCAGCCACAAUGUCCCUCUCCCUUCUGUUUCCGUUCCAGCCUUCUGUGACGGAUUACAUGCAUACAGUGAUAAUUCGAAAGUGGCGUCUUUGAAUGGAAUGACCAUCACGAAGCUCGAGCCAAGAUGAGCCUUGAGGCAGUUGCUGAACCAGUUUGCACUAGUGUUACUAUACAGUAUUUAGAGACCAGCUCGAUGUACCUGGUGUCUUAAGUGUCGUGACUAUGAUGAAAAGUCAUAAUGCGCCUUGAACGACUACAUUUAUCAAUAACUGGAAAAUUUUAAGGGAGCCAAGAAAAUCAGAAAUGUAUAUGGGUUAUCCGUUGUCCGAUAUUUGAAUCCAAAGCGUGAACAUGGUUCUGUUAUCCAGGUGAAUAUUUUUGACUAUUCAAAUUGUUAUUCUAGUCAUUACCGUCCUGCACUAUCUGAAAGUUUCUGAUCAGGUAGUUGUGUAUAUGUCUAGAAUACUUGUGUGGUGGGGUUAGACUUUACUUGGCACCAGAUGUCUUUCCAUGUGUGAUCUGGGGGCAUUAUCAUGGAGAUGGAUUUUUUUUUUAUCUCAGAUGGCAUCGUAUAUUCGAUAUUGCUG
RNAcentral lists this ribosomal RNA (3924 nucleotides) under Triticum aestivum (bread wheat). RNAcentral's name for it is "partial small subunit ribosomal RNA". Lineage: Eukaryota; Viridiplantae; Streptophyta; Magnoliopsida; Poales; Poaceae. The record is from RNAcentral.